GACGAACGCUGGCGGCGCGCUUAACACAUGCAAGUCGAACGGAAAGGCCUGCUUUCCCUUGUGGAUUGCGGGUACUCGAGUGGCGAACGGGUGAGUAACACGUGAGUGAUCUGCCCCCAACUUGGGUAUAAGCCUGGGAAACUGGGUCUAAUUCCCGAUAGGACUGCAGGGUGGUGCCUGUGGUGGAAAACGAUUUUCUAGUGGUUGGGGAUGAGCUCGCGGCCUAUCAGCUUGUUGGUGGGGUAAUGGCCUACCAAGGCGGCGACGGGUAGCCGGCCUGAGAGGGUGGACGGACAAAUUGGGACUGAGAUACGGCCCAGACUCCUACGGGAGGCAGCAGUGGGGAAUAUUGCACAAUGGGCGGAAGCCUGAUGCAGCGACGCCGCGUGGGGGAUGACGGCCUUCGGGUGGUAAACUCCUUUCGACCGCGAGGAAGCCACCUGGUUGGAAGGGUGGUGACGGUAGUGGUAGAAGAAGCACCGGCUAACUACGUG
RNAcentral lists this ribosomal RNA (494 nucleotides) under uncultured bacterium. Its description in RNAcentral is "partial 16S ribosomal RNA". It matches the Rfam family "Bacterial small subunit ribosomal RNA", at positions 28 to 507 of the family's 1533-position model. The record is from RNAcentral.